CUUGAUAACCUUGCUUAGAAACAUACGACUACUAUUACUAGUGAUGUAGAGACGAUGAAAGCAAACGAAAAACUAAGCAACUUUUCAGUUUUUUUAUUCCCAGUUAUACCGCGCGACCGCGGCUGGCGGGAAAAUUUGAAAGUUCCGAUGUGUAGGACAACUUUUGUCUACGGGCUAUGGGGGUUAAACCCCAUAUAAAUAAACAAAAAUUACCGACUGAUCCCCCGGCUCGAAUUCCAAAUAAAAUCGUAAAAACCCGCAACCCCCUAUCCCACGAAGCCACGAUUCAUCCACUUCAAGUUGAACUUCUUUUAUUACCCCUAGGCAAGAUUUGUUGAAUCUCGUCCUCACUCGACUGUAAAGAGGGUGAGCUGUCUCCAUCCGUAGACCCGCAACUUCCACUGCGCUGCGCACACACUUUCUAAAUUAUAAAUAAAAUUAGGGUGUCGGUCAAACCGGAAAAAAAUGGCACGAAUCCUCGUUGUAAAGGUGGAGUUGAAAGUCCUCGGGAUCUACAUCACUCAGCGCCCGAACAAGGAGAUCCUUCACGUCUAAGAAACCGCGACCAGUUGGCUGAUACAUCAUGGGAUACAUUUUGACGGUAUUGAAUUGGAGAUGGAAUUCGAGAUUCGAGAAUGAUUCGAGAUGGAAGUAUGAAACGCGGCGACGGCUUUUCGUAAACCAAGGACUCAGAAAAAUCGCCAAGUCGGAAUCUUGAAGUAAAACCUCAACGUUGUAACGGGACGGGUCCAAUCAGAAUCAUCUACAAGAGGAAAGAGGCCAUUCUGUAAAAAUGCAGGGUUCUGAUUCACUUAGUGGGCUCCACCCUGUUUAGAGGUAAGGGAUCUGAUUGACCACAUGGAGUCCACCCCAAAUAUUGGGACGGUGGCAUCGGGGAGCCCCAGCGUUGCCUUUGGCGAAAGUGAGUAACGGCGGUGCGCUACCCAACGUUUUCAUGUGGUUUCCGUGGACAAUAGCACCCUUGCAGCGCGAAGGCUAGGAGGGCCGCAUCCUGACGACAUUCUUUAUGCGAACCCUCGGAUCAAAGAGGCGGGGCGCGUGGCCGCCCGAAAAAAGCCACGAGGUAGCCGAUCAAAGAGGCGGAGCACGCUGAAGUGUGUGGAUUGAUCGGACGUUCUCAUCAUCAUUCCGCUGAAUCCACUUGCAAGUCCACCGUCGUCUUGGUUUUCUUACUUUUCUAUUCCUUUUACGGAGUAAACAACAACCAAUAACUGUAGUCAGUAAUGACAGAAGAAUCACGAUUUCAUCAUCAUCUCCAUUAAGAUUAUUCAUUUUAUUAGAUUAAUUUAAUCUGUUCUUCUUUCUUUCUGCCAUUUCCAAUAAUUAAACAAAUUCAAAAUUUGCUUCACUGUUCCUUUCACUUUUAGGGCGCAAUACGCGGAGUCACGAACAUAAAUAAGAGUUCUGAUUAAUUAGACCAUGACGCGGAUCUGUGAGGUUUAGGUUAGGUGCCAGCGAGCCCGCGCAGCCCAAAUACCAAAUACAAGUACCAACAUAAUUUUUUGCAAUCAACGAAAGACACUAGCCCGAACCCAUAAAUUCAACAUGUUCCUCUCCUCCUGAUCAUUGAUCUGGCGUCAUUUUGUUUGCAUAAAAUCAGAAUAUUUACAAUUAUUAUUUUUCAUAUAAACAUCAUUCUUCAGUAUAGCAACAUUUUUGUGAACGUUUUCCAUUAUCUGAAAUUUAGGAAAAAUAUUCACAUAUUUUUCUUUUAGUGAAGGAUAUAUAUAUUGGGGUUGCUUCACUCUUAAUGACGCAGCACCUCUUCAACCAAUGAACAUUAGGUUUCUUUUAUACCUCGAGUACUUCCGUGUGGAAUCCAUUUCUGAUUGGCUCUUGGCUCCCCUCUUCAGACUUCCACGAUCCACGA
This 1891-nucleotide long non-coding RNA is filed under the name Bemisia tabaci. Its description in RNAcentral is "lncRNA ENSSSA3NGG000509". Lineage: Eukaryota; Metazoa; Arthropoda; Insecta; Hemiptera; Aleyrodidae. The record is from RNAcentral.